This 332-nucleotide ribosomal RNA is filed under the name uncultured bacterium. RNAcentral's name for it is "bacterial SSU rRNA". It matches the Rfam family "Bacterial small subunit ribosomal RNA", at positions 30 to 355 of the family's 1533-position model. The record is from RNAcentral.
AUUGAACGCUGGCGGCAUGCCUUACACAUGCAAGUCGAACGGUAACGGGGACUUCGGUCUGCCGACGAGUGGCGAACGGGUGAGUAAUAUAUCGGAACGUGCCCAGUAAUGGGGGAUAGCUCGGCGAAAGCCGGAUUAAUACCGCAUACGCCCUCGAGGGGGAAAGGUAGGGGGAGUCUUCGGACCUCACGUUAUUGGAGCGGCCGAUAUCAGAUUAGCUAGUUGGUGGGGUAAAGGGACCGUACCAAGGCGACGAUCUGUAGCUGGUCUGAGAGGAUGAUCAGCCACACUGGGACUGAGACACGGCCCAGACUCCUACGGGAGGCAGCAGU